CCUACUUUUAUCCGCCGUGGGGAAUAUUGCACAAUGGGGGAAACCCUGAUGCAGCGACGCCGCGUGAGUGAAGAAGUAAUUCGUUACGUAAAGCUCUAUCAGCAGGGAAGAAACACUGACCUUACGGUCAGCAGACGGUACCUGAGUAAGAAGCCCCGGCUAACUACGUGCCAGCAGCCGCGGUAAUACGUAGGGGGCAAGCGUUAUCCGGAUUUACUGGGUGUAAAGGGAGCGUAGACGGUGCGGCAAGUCUGGAGUGAAAUGCCGCAGCUUAACUGCGGAACUGCUUUGGAAACUGGCGAACUAGAGUGCGGGAAGGGUAAGCGGAAUUCCUAGUGUAGCGGUGAAAUGCGUAGAUAUUAGGAGGAACACCGGUGGCGAAGGCGGCUUACUGGACCGUAACUGACGUUGAGGCUCGAAAGCGUGGGGAGCAAACAGGAUUAGAUACCCGAGUAGUC
This 458-nucleotide ribosomal RNA is filed under the name uncultured bacterium. RNAcentral describes it as "partial 16S ribosomal RNA". It matches the Rfam family "Bacterial small subunit ribosomal RNA", at positions 338 to 795 of the family's 1533-position model. The record is from RNAcentral.